RNAcentral lists this ribosomal RNA (481 nucleotides) under uncultured bacterium. RNAcentral describes it as "partial 16S ribosomal RNA". It matches the Rfam family "Bacterial small subunit ribosomal RNA", at positions 28 to 523 of the family's 1533-position model. The record is from RNAcentral.
GACGAACGCUGGCGGCGUGCUUAACACAUGCAAGUCGAGCGGAAAGGCCACUUCGGUGGUACUCGAGCGGCGAACGGGUGAGUAACACGUGAGUAAUCUGCCCCUGGCUUUGGGAUAGCCACCGGAAACGGGGAUUAAUACCGGAUACGACCACUUCUCGCAUGGGAUGGUGGUGGAAAGUUUUUUCGGCCAGGGAUGUGCUCGCGGCCUAUCAGCUUGAUGGUGGGGUAAUGGCUCACCAUGGCUUCGACGGGUAGCCGGCCUGGGAGGGUGACCGGUCACACUGGGACUGGGACACGGCCCAGACGCGUACGGGAGGCAGCAGUGGGGAAUAUUGGACAAUGGGCGGAAGCCUGAUCCGGCAACGCAGCGUGAGGGAUGACGGCCUUCGGGUUGUAAACCUCUUUCAGCAGGGACGAAGCGCAAGUGACGGUACCUGCAGAAGAAGCACCGGCCAACUACGUGCCAGCCGCCGCGGUAA